RNAcentral lists this long non-coding RNA (683 nucleotides) under Lepidothrix coronata (blue-crowned manakin). RNAcentral's name for it is "lncRNA (ENSLCOG00000014622.1)". The record is from RNAcentral. Lineage: Eukaryota; Metazoa; Chordata; Aves; Passeriformes; Pipridae.
GAAGUGAACUUGCUGGACAAAAUCACUCUCUAUGCCCAGGACCUCAGCAAUAUUUCCUUUGCCUAUGAUGAAGCCAACUGCAGGAUCCUGGAGGUGGGGCAGUACGCCACCCUCAACAUCCCCACCAGGGAGGCCUUUGGGGACAGGUUUGCAGAUGAGCUGAGCGUGCUGAUGAAGCUCAGGUACUCCCUGAAGGAGGACACCAGCCUGGUGACCAUCCUCAGCCACAGGAGCCACGUGCUCUUCCAGAUCAGGAUCAACCCCUACGGCCUGGUCUUUGUCACCACGAGGAGGAGACACUACGAGUUCCCAGUUUCCUUCCUUGGUGAUGGGCACUGGCACCAGGUUGCCCUCAGCAUCUCCCUGGAGAGGCUGGAGUUGCACGUGGACUGUCGGCUGGUGGACAGAGUGAGCUGGGCCAACUAUUUCGGGAUGGGAGUGAACACUGAGGGGCUCAUCAUCAUUGGAGGCCUCAUCGAGUCCUUUGAGAUCCCCUUUAAGGGAGCUCUCCAGCAGCUGACCUUCGUGAUGGGAGACCCCUCAGCCGCCGCCGAGCACUGUCACAGCUACAACUCCACCUGCACGGGCUCCUUCAGCCUCAGCCACCUCACCUCCUCCUGGGAGCCCUCCACAGCCUGGCCAGAGGUGGGGCUGAGGGCAGCUGACAAAUUUUGGGAGCGCUG